GGAUUCGCUAGUAAUCGCGCAUCAGCCACGGCGCGGUGAAUACGUUCCCGGGCCUUGUACACACCGCCCGUCAAGCCAUGGGAGCCGGGGGUACCUGAAGUGCGUAACCGCGAGGAUCGCCCUAGGGUAAAACUGGUGACUGGGGCUAAGUCGUAACAAGGUACC
This 165-nucleotide ribosomal RNA is filed under the name uncultured bacterium. RNAcentral describes it as "partial 16S ribosomal RNA". It matches the Rfam family "Bacterial small subunit ribosomal RNA", at positions 1328 to 1500 of the family's 1533-position model. The record is from RNAcentral.